UACGUAGGGCGCGAGCGUUGUCCGGAAUCAUUGGGCGUAAAGAGCUCGUAGGCGGCCGGUUGCGUCUGCUGUGAAAACCCGGGGCUCAACUCCGGGCCUGCAGCCGAUACGGGCAGACUAGAGUUCGGCAGGGGAGACUGGAAUUCCUGGUGUAGCGGUGAAAUGCGCAGAUAUCAGGAGGAACACCGGUGGCGAAGGCGGGUCUCUGGGCCGAUACUGACGCUGAGGAGCGAAAGCGUGGGGAGCGAACAGG
RNAcentral lists this ribosomal RNA (253 nucleotides) under uncultured bacterium. RNAcentral describes it as "partial 16S ribosomal RNA". It matches the Rfam family "Bacterial small subunit ribosomal RNA", at positions 524 to 776 of the family's 1533-position model. The record is from RNAcentral.